Molecule: long non-coding RNA, 4089 nt
Organism: Passer domesticus (house sparrow)
Lineage: Eukaryota; Metazoa; Chordata; Aves; Passeriformes; Passeridae
Exons: 5
Source: RefSeq, a predicted model, not a curated record
UGGUUUGUUUCCAACACCUGGGGGGUUUUGGUGCUCUGUUGCCCUAAAGCAGCACAGAUGGGGUUCAUUUACCUGAAUCUGACCUCUUAGGAGGGGCCUCUUGCCUCCCUGGGUAAUUCAGUGCUGAGCUGGAGGUGCUCUCCUAACCCAGCAGGUAACUUGGCUCUGGACAGAGAAAUGGAGGAAGUAUCUGGCAGAUUCACACCGUGGAGAGCAGCACUUGCUUGGAGAAAUUGCUGUCUAACAGAUCCUUUGUGGACUUCCGACCAAAACCAUCCAGUGCAACAUAUGGGGAAGGUUUGUGCCCUGAUGUGACAUGUGGCAACAGCGUGUGAGGCUUUGGAUGGUCCUGUUACUGCACUGAUAUAUCCAUUCUUAGUCAUGUCCUCCUGUGAUGCAAGAAAGGGGUAUGUUCUUGCUCAUGGUGGUCACCUUCUGAAUUGCUCCCAAGUGCCUGGACAAAUCCCAUAGGGAUCUCAUUCCUCCUGCAAGGCUGGCAUUUGGUUCAAGCAGCACUGACCUGUGUGGAUGCUCUGAAGGUUGAACUAGAGGGAGGACCUAGCCCCUCACUGCCUACCUUCUCCUGCAAGGAAAACAAACUGUGCUCAGGGUUGGGCAGUGCUGUGAGCCAAGCCUGGACAUCCCUCCUUGGGACAAUCUCCUGCCACAGUGGUGUUCCAAGGAUGAAGGUGUUCUUUUGUGGCUUGCAUGCUGGAAUUGUUCAUGGAAAGAUAUUCUGGGGCAGUAGGCCCUGCCAGUCUCCUGACAAUAAAAAGGUCUGUGGGCAUUUGUUCCCUCUGUCUGGCUUGAAAUGUUAAGACCCAUGUGGGGGAACAGCACAUUCUUGCUCUGCACAGCAAGGGUGCCAGCCCACACUUUGUCAGGCUACCUUCCCAGACUUUGGCAUCAUCAGUUCCUGUAUUUAUAGCUCCUCUGUAAUAGCAAGGGGCAAAAACACAGCAGCAGGAGCUGGAUUUACAAAUAACUUCUGAAUGAAGAUGCUUAGCCAGCAGCAGCAUCUCCUGUUGUUUCUCUUAUCUAACUUGCUAAAUUCUUCACCUUCUUCCCAGCACCUCUUUCCAUAUGUGCAUGGUUUUCCUGGGCCACCAAAGUGGGGGUAGCCCCUGCCUGCUGAGCUGUACCUGGCUCUGACCACAUUUCUGUGGAAGGCCCAUGUGAAAUAUGAAGGGCUUGCCUGCAGCACCCUUCCAGCUUUUUUGGAGGGUACAGGGACUCACCCUGUGUUUGUGGAAUGUGAAUCUUGCCAAGCAGCUCUUGCCUGUCAGUGACUGAACAGCAAUGACCUUGGUCUUUCCCUGGUGAGGGCUCCACCCAGGCUGGAUCAUUUGUUUCCAGGAGCCACCACUGGCUUCUAAAGGUGAACAAAAGGGAAUGAACUAAAUAUUGUGGAAAAUAACCACAAUGUGGUGGUUCCAUCUUCUGACUCAGAGGUGUCUGUUACCAGAGCCUGGGAGGUGCAGGCAGAGAGAACCCAGUGGGAUCUGAGCAGGGCUGAGAUAAUGUUCCAGACAGCCAGUCCAUGCAGGAGUGGAGGAGGAAGAGGGCAGUUCUAGGUCAAAAUCUGUGAGGCUUUGCAGUGAAAGUGUUGGGAAGGGAGGGCUGGAAAAGUUCUUUCUUCCUCCAGGAUAGCUGUGGUCUGUUCCCCAGCUGAACUCUCACUCUUUGUCUGCUCUAAUCCACAUCUUCCCUCUGCCAGCUGGGUUUGUUUUGCAAAUGCAAAUCUGAUCUUCUUAGUUUGUCCUGUGUGUCUUGCUCAGUUUUCACUUUGUCCAAGUUUCCACCAUAUAUACUUUAGAGCAAAGCAUCCUACUUGCCCCUUUGUGACUGAAAGGGGAAAGUAUUGUGGCUCUAAUAAUAGCAGAAAUCUUCUAGUCCAAAGUAUUUUUUAGAAGGCUGGUUACAUCAGCAACUUUACUACUGCAACUCUCAUUGUGAUGUUUGACUUAUUGAAAACUGAAAGAUUCAGCCCCAUUCAAGUUUUAUGUCCAUGGAACACACCCAGCUCUAGGGCAGUGGCCAGAACAAUGUCAGCAUGAACAGAGAGCAAAACCCAAGAACUUGGUUAGAUUUUUAGACUUGAAAUGCCCUUUCAUAUUUUGAGAUACCUGUGAAAUGCAGGUAAUUGGUCAUUCUCCCCAUUCUGAAUAAAGUGAGGAGAGCAGACAUCUACUUAAAUUUUCUUGGAACAGAUCUGCAGAUGAGUCUCUGACAGACUACUUGAAACCACACUAACAUCACUCUGCAGGCCAGAAGCACAUACCAGGCCCUGGGAUUUGUGGGGCUGUCCUGCUCUGCCACAGCCCUCUGGCACACUCUAGAGUAAGUCACUGGCUUCAGAGGAGUGAAAGGGAGUUAUUUACCCAACACUGGUUGCAGUGGAAGGAUGUGAGCUCAAAAAGUGUUUGAGUAACAGGUGGCCAGCAAAGGUCAUCAGAAAGACAGGUCCAAAGGCAACACUUUUUUAACAGGUGUUCACAAGCACUGUUGAAAGAGACUGUAGUGACUUUUCUAAGGCUCUGAUAUCCCUGAGGAAACCCCCCUUUGGCAGCAGCCUGGCCUUAUGUUUCCCAUCAAUUGUAGCUUUGUCUCUUCUGAAGCCCCCUGCUGCCAACGAGCAAACAACUGGCUGAGACAAGAUGUGUGGAAAAUAUUGCCUGAGCUGGAGAGGUAAUGGCAAAUCCCAUGCCAGGAGGAAUAAUAAAAGGAGAUCAUUGAUAUAACUGUGCUAGUCUCAAUAGGUUUUCCACCAGGCAUGUGGGAGCACCUAUAAAGGAGGCAUUGUCUGUACUGUCACUGAAGGGAAACAGGAGAAAUGAGCUGGAGCAGGUGAGGGAAGGGUGGGUGUGCCUGGUGAGCAAAACUGAUCAGUAUCAGCAGAAAGGGAAGGAGUGGCUGUGAGUGCUGAGGAUCCAAAGGUGUCCAUCAGGCUGCUGUUCAUCAGCCAGACCCCUGCUCUCAGUCCCCAGUGAUAGGCUGGGACUUGAACUGCAGGUUUGAGUCCAGUGGCUUCAGUGCAUCUUGCCCAGAGCCCCCAUGCAUGAAUGCAGACUUUGCAUCUGCAAACAGUGCAGGUUUAUCAGUGUGCAGGAUCUGUGCUGUGGUGUUAGCAGGGCCUGGCCACGUGGAGAUUUUAAGGUCACUGCACCUACUGAAUGUGUUUGUUUCUAACAGAAAUGCAGAGUUAGGCCUGUGUUUGAGAGCUGUUGCAAAUGUCACCCCUGCAAGUGAUACAACGCAGAAGAGAUUCCUUGAGGGUUGGGUAUUGCACUCCCUCCCCAGGAUCUUCCUGUGACACUUCUACUGGGCAGGAGGCAGGGCAGCUUCAAUGAAUAUGGGUAUUGGUUGUCUCUAGGGACUUCACAGAAACCUCUUCUGAAACCCCACUUACAAUCUCAACCUGAUUAAAAGGCAUGGGGAAGGGUGUAUCUCACCAGUAUAGACACCCCAAGGCUCUGAACAUUUGCAGACAGGAGCACCUCUUCUCCAGCCUCUCUCCCUUUGCUUCCUUGGCUGCAGAUAACAAGUGCUUUGGUUCCAGUUUGCCUGAUUCUUGGAAACCUGAGGCAGACAACAGCCUGCUCUUUCAACAUGCUGUAGAAAAAAAAAUUAAAGGUGUGUGGGAGGGAGGAGGAGAAGAACUAUUUCCUGCAGUGAAACUUGAUCCUUUUCAACUUAAAAAUAGGAGGAAAACAAAUUCCUGUGGGACCUUCUAUAAAAGAGUUUGAUGGUUGCCUACUCCCAGCCCCACCUCCCAGAGCUCCCCAUUUGUGUGAUGCCUUGGAAGGAGCCCUCCUGAGCACAAACCCAGAUCUGUGACUGCUGGGGGCAGCAGCUCUGCUCCACGGUGGGGGUCAGCUGCAGGGGAGUGUAAUGCUCUGUGACAGGUAGCAAAGCCCAGGAUUAAGUGUUCUUUGUGUGGACCUACCAUGCAAACAGCUUUUCCUGGGCCUCUUUUUCUUGCUGUAAAUUUUGUCCAGACCUCUAUAAAGGUGCAAGGAAUUGCUGAGCAUUUUUUCAGGCUGUGCCAAGCCAGGAGCCCCCAGGAGGGAUCACACAAACAGCAGCCAA